GUAGCAAGGUUAACCGUAUAGGGGAGCCGUAGGGAAACCGAGUCUUAACCGGGCGUUAAGUUGCAGGGUAUAGACCCGAAACCCGGUGAUCUAGCCAUGGGCAGGUUGAAGGUUGGGUAACACUAACUGGAGGACCGAACCGACUAAUGUUGAAAAAUUAGCGGAUGACCUGUGGCUGGGGGUGAAAGGCCAAUCAAACCGGGAGAUAGCUGGUUCUCCCCGAAAGCUAUUUAGGUAGCGCCUCGUGAAUUCAUCUCCGGGGGUAGAGCACUGUUUCGGCUAGGGGGCCAUCCCGGCUUACCAACCCGAUGCAAACUGCGAAUACCGGAGAAUGUUAUCACGGGAGACACACGGCGGGUGCUAACGUCCGUCGUGAAGAGGGAAACAACCCAGACCGCCAGCUAAGGUCCCAAAGUCAUGGUUAAGUGGGAAACGAUGUGGGAAGGCCCAGACAGCCAGGAUGUUGGCUUAGAAGCAGCCAUCAUUUAAAGAAAGCGUAAUAGCUCACUGGUCGAGUCGGCCUGCGCGGAAGAUGUAACGGGGCUAAACCAUGCACCGAAGCUGCGGCAGCGA
This 573-nucleotide ribosomal RNA is filed under the name Salmonella enterica subsp. enterica serovar Heidelberg. RNAcentral describes it as "bacterial LSU rRNA". It matches the Rfam family "Bacterial large subunit ribosomal RNA", at positions 637 to 1211 of the family's 2925-position model. Lineage: Bacteria; Pseudomonadati; Pseudomonadota; Gammaproteobacteria; Enterobacterales; Enterobacteriaceae. The record is from RNAcentral.